CUAGUAUUAUGUUUCCUGGUGAGGACCCAAGUUCAGUUCCCAAAACUCAUUUAGAGUGCUUCACCAACUGCCUGUAACUCCAGCUUUAGGGAUUCUGAUGCCUCUGGCUGCGCUGGGCAUCUGCAUUCAGGCUUGUGUAUGCAUAUACACAUGCACAACUUAAAAAUAAUGCAUUUGCUGGGUGGUUGUGGUACAUGCCUUUAAUCCCAGCACUUGUGAAGCAGAAGCAGGUGGAUCUCUGUGAGUUUGAGGGCAGUCUGGUCUACAGAGCACGUUCCAGGAUAGCUAGAGUAAUACAGAGAAACCCUGUCUUGAAAAACUAGAUAGAUACACUUUUAAAAAUUUCAUGCUUUGGGGUAUACCUUAGUAGCACAUCACUGGCAUGCAUUAUGGGGCUCUUGAGUUGAUCCCAGCAGCAGACAUUGGAUAGAGGGAUGAAGGGGAGAAAAGCCCCUCCCCCAAACUUCCACUAGUAAAAGACAAGGAAAAAUUUUUUUAAUGUAUUCCUGAUUUCUAUGCAUUGAUGUUUUGCCUGCAUGUGUAUCUGUAUGAGAGUGUUGGAUCCCCUGGAACAGAUAGUUAUGAGCUGCCAUGUGGCUCCUGGGAAUUUCAUUUGGGUCCUCUUGAAGAUCAGCCAUCUUACCAGCUCUUGUUUUGUUUAUUUUUAAACUACGUCAUCAUGGCACAUACAUUAGACUUACAUAGUAAUUCAAGACUAGUUCGGGCUACAUAUUGAGACCAAGUUUCAAAAUAAAUUUUAUUAUUUCUUGAAUACCAGGAUUAUAAUCGUUCCUCAGGUAGUGGUGGUUUACACUUUUAAUCCCAGUACUCAGGAGAUAGAGACAGGUGAUUCUUUGUGAGUUCCAGGCUAGCCUAGUCUACAAAGCCAGUUCUAGGAUUGCCAGGGCCAUGUCUCAAAAAACAAAAUUUGAGAUAAAUAAAAAUGAUGAAUCAGAGGAGAUUAAAUAAUAAAGGUGGGCUGGAGAGAUAGCUCAGCGGUUAAGAGCAUUGACUGCUCUUCCAGAGGUCCUGAGUUCAAUUCCCAGCAACCACAUGGUGGCUCACAAACAAAAAAGUGGGAUGUGAUGCCCAUUUCUGGUGUGUCUAAAGACAGCUACAGUAUACUCAUAUAUAUUAAAUCUUAAAAGAAAAGAAAGAAAAAAGAAUAAAAGCUGCUCAUGGGAUUCAGCCAAGUGAUAUCUUCUUAACAUUGGAAAAGGGUAAAUAAAUAUGUUACUAUGGGAAACCAUGCCAAUGCCUUCUGAGAUUGCAUUUACCUAUGUAACCUAUACUGUCCUUGAAGUCCUUGAACUCUAGACCUUCUAAUUCAACAUUCUUAGUACUGAGAUUACAAGUAUUUCACCACUCCUGACCCCCUCUGCCUUUGAGCAACAAUCUUUUGUUUUUUCUUAACUUGUAAACAUUGACCUCCCCUUCAUCUCUUCAUUACCUCGACCCUUUGGUUCUUGUGCUUGGGAUAGAACUUAAGGCUUCAAGAAUGCAAGCUAGGCUGCUAUUCUUUCUCUGAGAUAUGGCGUCCAGCCUGUUUUCCUAGUUUAUAAAUACCUUUGCUCUCUGCAUGGAUUAGAACAGGACAUACUGAUUGUGGACAAAUAGUACCCACCACAAUUCAAAGUUUAGUAGGUUUUAACUUUGGUGUCUCUGAAGUAUGUUUUCCUGGGGACUCUGAUCCUGACUUUGGUGGCUAUUGAACCCUCCCUGACAUAUCCAAGUUUAGUUUUAAACAAAUCAAGUUGGCAAGUUGUGUGUGGUGUUUUUGUUUGUUUUCACUUUUCAUUUCUGGGUCUUAAACUGCAUAUUAAAUUCACUUGUAAUGUCUGGAUUCAGAGAUAGUUGUGAGUCUGUGUUUACUCAGUGUUGGCGUUUUGGAACAGGCCACAGUUUAGAGUAGUAAGUUGUCUUCGUCAAAGCCAAGUCAUAUUUGCUUUAUACCAAACAAUAUUAGAGAACUAAAACACAUCAUAAAAUGUAUACUGUUUUGUAUUUCACCUCUUUCAGUAUUUAAUUAUAUUAAUGCCUUCUAGAAUUCUGUUAGAUAAUUCAUUGAUUCCUGAAAUAAAUUGGUAUUGUGUAAUU
This 2097-nucleotide long non-coding RNA is filed under the name Rattus norvegicus (Norway rat). RNAcentral's name for it is "long non-coding RNA NONRATT022923". The record is from RNAcentral. Lineage: Eukaryota; Metazoa; Chordata; Mammalia; Rodentia; Muridae.